ACAGGUUCAAAUCCUGUCAUCCCUA
Molecule: transfer RNA, 25 nt
Filed under: Aegilops neglecta
Lineage: Eukaryota; Viridiplantae; Streptophyta; Magnoliopsida; Poales; Poaceae
Description: partial tRNA-Pro
Source: RNAcentral